Alligator mississippiensis (American alligator) is the source of this 9067-nucleotide long non-coding RNA. RefSeq lists it as uncharacterized. Lineage: Eukaryota; Metazoa; Chordata; Crocodylia; Alligatoridae. The transcript is spliced from 3 exons. The record is from RefSeq and is a predicted model, not a curated record.
CGAGUUUCCACACUGGUAACUGCUUUGAAAGAUAUUCAGUAAAUCUAUUCUGUUAAAUAGGGAACCCUGGCACAGUACCCAGCCUGUCUGACUCAUGAAGGACUCUCCUCCUGCCCCCAACUUUGCCUGAACCAGAACUGAUCAGAAGAAGGACUUACAAAAGGCAAUUAAGAUGCAGUGAGAAACGCACACAAACCCCUACUGAUAAGGGUGACAGGAUUAAGGCAACUCCCCUAGUCCCGUUUGCAUUGGAGAUGAGACUGGGAGCCACCUUCAUUAGCAUUCACAGUGGAGAACAGAGAUUCCAAGGCACUAAACUUUGGGACCAGAGAAGCAGGGGAGCACUGCAUGAUGGGGGAUCCCUGCUCCAAAUACUAAUCAACACAGGUCUGCACACACCCAGCUCAUCAUUUAUCAGACCAAUUUUGGUAAUGACUCCUUUAUUGUUACCCAAAACACUGAAUCUGCCUCUUUGCACUGUGAGCUUCCUCAGAGUAAUGCCACCCAUAGCCAGGAGUGAUCAGUUCCUCUUGUCCAGCAUAUGAGGCAUUGUUUAGCCAUAAACAAACCUAGUGCUCCAUUGUUAGUUCCCUACAAAAGCUCAAGUUUCAGUCCUGGUGCUUGGAUCCAAAAGCUGCACCAGUUCCACUCCUUUUCUGCCUGGAAUGCCUUCAAUGAGAGUGCUGGGGGCUCUGCCUCUCAACAAACACCUGGGAACCUUGGAGUGGAAUUCCCAGUAUUCUUUCAUCACCAGACAUAUCUCCGUCCUAACUAUUACGUAAGUAUAUGGCCCUAUGUGCAGGUGAGUGCUAAUUAGUGAUCCAUAAUUUAGGUAUUAUGGUUUUACAAGAAUAGCAUGUUAUUGGACAGAAACAUGCCUGCAUUCUGAAAGGGUGAAGAUUUCUCAAACCCAUAGGUUUGGUAUUCCCUACUUUAGAUACCUUUUUGUAGGAUAACAUGUCUGUCUUCACAUAGAACAUCAUUUCUUGCCAGGGAAAUAAACCUUGUUGUAAUUCAAGUACACUAAUGAAGAAAGUAAUGAGGAAAGGAACAUUUUAGACAACUGGUAUAUAGCCAUAUCAUAUAGAUCAUUUUUGUUAUGUUUUGUCAAGGAAUCUUAAAUUUUUCCUAUCUUAACUUCUACAAACACAAAUGACGGAUUUCUUUCCAUAUUCUCUGCAAUGACAUUUGCAGUAAAUUUAAUUUAUAAUAUUGUACCAAGUAUCCACUGCUGUACUGUCAUUGAGAUUAUUGAAAUGAUAGUUCUGCUAGAUAAUCUAUCAAUCCAAACUGCAGGACUUGGACCAAUCUCGUCUAUAUUAAAAUUACCUUCCCUGUAAGAAAGCCAUAAUUCUUCUUCUUUCUUUCACAACUUUGCCUUCUGUUUUGAGUUUUAUGAAUAAUUGCUUUCUACUGAUCAAAACCAAAUUCUAAUAUACUACACACACUGUCAUUGAUCACUAUAAGCACUAAUGUAUAAAUAAAAAUAUGUUUAUGUUUCAAACUAAAACUGACAUCUCUAUAAUAAGACCUCAUACACACAAGCUAGUACAUUACUAUGCCAUAUCCAGUGAGCCAGAUUGCUCAGUUUCUAUGAGAAUGUUUCCAAGUUGAAAUACAGAUCCUAUACUAAUAAAAAGUAGAAGUCAUGGUAAAUGUAUUUGCUAUACAAAAUCUUCUUUGUAUAUUUCUUUCUUUUUUUAAAGUCAGUGCGUUCUAGGAUUCUCCAUUAAUUGAGACAGUAUUACACAUCAAGACACUGCAUUUUUAAACACAUUUAUUAUUUUAAAAUGUGACAUUACGCACUUUGGUAAAACUGUUUCAGGUCACUAAUAUUCAGUUUGAUGCUCCAUUGUCUAGUGGGUAGUCUAGUCAGACCAGAACAUCUUCACAAUUUACACACAAUUAGUGGCCUGUUAUCUACCAAGGGUGUGGAUAAAUGUGUGGCAAACCAAGACUAAUUCAUCAUCACAGCUUUCAGGCCCUUGAAAGCUGCUAGACCAGGGGCAGUCAAUUAUUUUGGGCAGAGGGCUGCUUACUGAGUUUCAGCAAGCCAUCAAGGGCUGCAUGACAGGCAGCUGAGGGCUGAUAAAUGUUAAUUUUCCAAAUUUUUUAGGGGCCCCGCGGGCCAUAUACAAUGGCCUGGCAGGCCACAUCCAGCCCCUGGGCCGCAUUUUGCCCACCCCUGUGCUAGAUAGAGGAAAGAUAGUGAUACGAAAUACAAAAAUGAAAUACAAUUUAAAAAAAACAACCUCUCCACAACUUCAGUUUUCUAAAUUGAACAGAGCAUAUUGAUUUCUUGCAUCAUAUCAUGUAAUGUAAAGCUACAUUUUUAUGACUGCUUUAUGAACAAAUUUGAAAAUAAAAGAACCACAGUUACUCUUGAAUUUCUUCUUUACCAGCUUAAAAAACAAGAAAUUCUGACAGUUCAUUGAUGGAAUGGCUCCUCACUGCCUGGCUUUAGCCAAAGGAAAGAAGAUAUAUUUUUAUGUGUUACAAUGGAAUCACAAAAGGAGACUAAAUUGAUUGUAAUAGCAGUGUCAAUACUCAAUACAAGUAAUACUGAUACUGUGGUAUACAUUUCAAUUUUCAGAUUUCCUUAAGUAAACUGUCAAUAAGUUAACUUUAUUUCUAGUGCUUAAGUUUUUAUUGUUGGGGGGUUGUUACUCAAUACAAUCAUACUAUUGUAUGGCAUUUUCCAAGAUAUUCAGCUGAGAUGCCCUUCACUGCCUUUAGUUUACAAAGGAUUCUGCACCAAAUGGAUGAAAGAAAACCAAGAGUACCCAGAACUAGUAAACCUAUCAAAAGAGGCAGGGAAAAGACAUGACAUAGGCUUGGAUGAGUGACAUCAAACAUUUAAAUCAUUGACAGACCCAAAAUGUAAGUAUAUGCAGGAAUACCAAGUAAAAUUAUGUUAAAUGAUAACAAAGAAACCAUUUAAAGUCAUAGAACUUGUUUAUAUUAUCCUAAACUCUCCUGGAGAGUUGGAGAUAUUAUUGUCACUUCAGCAGUCAAACUCACAGCCUGAUUCACUAAUGAGUACCUGGAAGGACAGCUGAGCCCGAAACAAGUACUCAGUGCUUCCAUAUGCACUCUGUACAUAGAUCAGAGGUUUUAUAUCCAUUCCAGGGGAAGAAUCAACUCAGAUUCUCCAUUUUACUUCCAGAUAGCAAAAUAAAUGUAAUCUAGAACGUGUGUUUGCCUAGAACUGUGGUUCUCAGCCUUUUUGAGACUCAAGACACCACUCCACAUCAUUUCAAAAUUUUGUGGCACACCAUAUUUAAGAAAAACUAAUAGAAGUGAGAAGUAGCUAAAGGAGAAGUGGCAUGCCUACCUGUGUCAUGUAAUGAAGCCAGAGACGCCAUCUCUGCUGCAGCCCCUUCUCAGCUGGGUUCCACGUACCUCUCAAAAUCCAAGGUACGCAGGGCAAUUUCACCCCAUUGCAAAGGUGCAGCAACCCAGUUAAGUUUCUUGCAGCAUCUCAGUUACAAGUCAUCUUAGUGGCCUAGAAGUAGGCAUGUGGCUAGCAUAAUGUUAACUGACACUUGUCCAACAUAUUCUUCUACUAUACAGAUAAUGUUCUGCUCACAUUUUCUAAAUUCCCCUUUCUCCAUUAUGAUGUUUUCAGUAUUCUCUGUGUGCAUAAAUUACCAUUGUUUCCCUUCUCUCAACUAGUACCUAAACACCUGGUCCAAGAUCCAAUGAAAGCCAUGGGAAUCUUUCCAUGGACUUCAGUGGGUUUGUGCAAAGUUUAAGGCCAGAUUGAAGAAGGAAGGAUUUCUAUUCUCUGAGCUACUGGAAGAGGGGCUGUACUCUUUGUAGGACAGGGGAAGCCAUUUCUCACUUCCUCUCUGUUUCCUGUGUUAAGAGAAGGAAAGGAUCUCCAGACUUGGGUUCUUUGUUCCUUCUUCCACUCUAGAAAAGUGUGUGGCUCUUUCCUUCCCAAUAAGCAAAGGGGCCUCAUAGUUCUCAUACCACCAGCCCCAUUUACAAAAAUUACAUUGAAUUACAAUAACAGGAACAAAGGCAUUGUCGUCAAAUAAAAUUUUAAAGGGGAUUAAUGAAAAAAAUACAAUCAGAAAAGAUCUUAUAAUUUCUUUCAUGCUCCAUUUACCUUCAGUCAUUUAUUUUCUAUUUUUCCUCUUAAUUCUGCUUUCAUUUUCUGAAACUUUCUAGUCAAAGCUUCUUUAGUUUCUCGCAGAUGGCUAAAAUAAAACAAAUUAAAGUUCAUAGUACUUGUCAUUUAAAAAAUAUGUAUUCACAAUGUGAUUGCUGAUUAAGAAAAAAGAAUGUUGUGCCUAAGGAAUGUGGACAGGAGCCAGAACAGGAUGACAUUAGGAUGGCUUGGACCCCUGCUUCAGAUAGGAACUGAGAAAUUUCAAAUCUGCAAAGGUAGUUGGAUGGUAACUAAAGUAUGAAUGACGCAUGCCUCCAGAGGCUGGGGGGGCACAGUGACUGCCCGCAGGUGGCAGCAGCAGUGGUGGUAGCAGCGGAGGGGGCAUGGCAGCAGCAAGCAGGGAGCUCCCACAGGUGGCUGCGAUGGUGUCGGCGCUGAGGGGUAUGUGGGGAGCAGUAAUGAGAACUGUCCAGUGGCUGGUGACCACCCACAGAUGCUGCUGGCAAUGUUGGCAGUAGCCAGCAGUGAUCAGCAACCAUCCACAGGUGCCGCCAGCAGCAUCGGCAGUGCUUCUGUCAGGGGGUACACUGCCAAUCUCAAGGGGUGCACAUGCACCCACAUGCACACCCUACACAUCGCCAAUGGGCUAAAGCAUUGCUGUCUGAGAGGGAAGCACAUACCUCCUCCACCUGUAGCAAAUUUAAGGACCCAUGUGACUCAAAUCAUAGACCUGAAGGUGGCAAGGCAAAGGGAUUGGAUCUUCAGAUCUUCAGAUGAAGUAUGCCUAUUGGAGAGCUCCAAGGCUGGAGCUACCACCAUGAACUCUGUGUUACAGUAGCACAGGCAGCAUCUAAAAGUGGCUCUUUGUUAUAAAACUGGGGCCUCCCCCAAUCUCCCCCAAUAUUAAUUCAGAUACCAUAGAGUUACAACCUGCAUGAGGGCAGUGUAUCUUUUCAGCCAAUCUACCUAAUAUUUUACUGAAUAAUACCUAACAAUAUCUCUUAAUCGGAGAAGAGAAGACUGAGAAGGGAUUUAAUAGCAGCCUUCAACUACCUGAAGGGUCAUUCCAAAGCAGAUGGAGUUAGACUGUUCUCAGUGGUGACAGGUCACUUAAAAAGGAGAAAUGGUUUCAAUUUGCAGCAAGGGAAAUUUAGGAAGAACUUUCUCAGUAGGAGGGUAGUAAAGUACUGGAAUAGGUUACCCAGAGAAGUGGUGGAAUCUCCAUCCUUGGAGGUUUUUAAGACCUGGCUAGACAAAGCCUUGGCUGGCAUGAUCUAGUUGGGGACAUUCCUUGUAUGAGCAGGGAGCUUGACUAGAUGACCUCCUGAGGUCCCUUCCAACCCUAAUUUCCCAUUAUUCUAUGAUUUUUCUCAUUGUUCUGGCUAGUAGCAUAAGUAUGGAGGGUGGCAGGGAUGUUUUGGCUCUUCUUCAUCCAAAAAUGUGGCAUGUGCAUAUCCUGAGUAGUUAGAAUCAUCUGUAUUCCAUAUUCCGGGGGAUAUAACUGCUUGCCCACCUAGCAGUAGGAAUGUAAUACUUCUUGACUAUUUCCUAUCUUUUUGUAAAGGGCAUUUCCAGGUUGCUGGGUUCCUCUUUUCCAUCAAAUUAGGAACAGAAUGGAUUGACCUUUCCCCUUUUUCCCUUAUUCCCUUAAAGUAUAUGUCUCAUUUUCUUUGGGUACAACUUCUUGACCCGAACGUAUCCAUCCUGAAGUACAGCUCUAGCAUACAUGGAAAGCUAGUCUGAUGUAUGUUUCAGUAAAAGUAUGAAUAUCAUGCUUCUAAAAAUAUGCAGCAGCAGGAAUGGUUACAGUCUAGCAGUCAGAGGUUCCUACCGAUAACACAAUUAGCUCUCUUGGUGACUUGCCUCCAAAGCACAGCUGGAUCAAUGUAAUGCCCAGCAAGAAGUAUUCAAAUCAGUCUUAUCCUGGGAUAAAUCAAUGAUAUCCUUCCGUUUAAAGCACACUGAGCUUCAGAUUGAGACCCAUGUUUCUCUCCAGUUAUAUCUAUUUAUCAGGUAUUGAGCAAAGAGCAUAAUCUACAGUAUCCAUAGUAAUAAUAAUGUAACAGGCCCUAGAAAUGUGCUUGUACAGUCUUACAGUUGUGCUAAGGUAUUGCAGUAAUUUAGUUGUAUAUAAGAUACAGUUACUAAAUUAACCCAGUGAUGAUGGUGAUAAUGUAUCAAAAUCAAAAUUUUAAGAUAUGGAAUGCAUAAAAAUAUGAAUACUAAUCCUAUUAAAAAUAUUUAAAAGAAAAACAGACCCCUCAAAACUUAUUUUAACACACUAUAGUUAUUUUUGUUCUCCAAUAUAUAAUCACAGGGUAAAUUUUACAUUAUUACACUGUAUCAUAGAAUAUUUUUAUUCUCAAAUAUGUGUGUUUUGCUUAUUUAAAAAAUGUCUAUUGUUUCAUGAUCACUUCAUAAAUGAAACACAGAAUUGUGAAAAAUUCAGAAAUAAAAAUAAAUAAACAAUCCCCCCAAAACAUUGUGAUUCCAAAAUAAUCACCAGUCUGAAAAAAAGAUACUUUACUUAGUUUUGAGGUGUAUCACUGACUGGUGUAAAGGCAUAUGUGGGACGUGGGGCCCCAUUCCAUGACAUAAAGACUCCAGAGACAUCUUUGAUCAUUCUUUGUGAUGCAUAAAAUAUGUCACAGCUGUACUAUAAAAGAUAUCAGGCAUCAGGUAAGGUUGUCAUUUGCCCUUGCUGGAUUAUAUUGGAAAAAAUACAGCUUUUCUCUCUUGUACUUGUGUGGGAUUUCUGCUCAUGAAAACACAGCCUAUUUAGUCUGUGUGCACAUUACCAUAUUCCUAUUUUAUUUCAAAAGAAAGUAGUCAUAAAAUAAACUUGCUGAAGAGAAUAGAUCUGGUUGAUAUUUUGUUUCAGCAUCCACCUAUUUCAUAUGUUAUAAGUUGUGAAUAUGUUAAAUACUGUGUAAAACGGCUACAUUAAAGCUAGGUUCUACAAAAGGACUGAUAUUUCUCUAGGGACCAGUUCCUUUCAUUUGACUUCUGUUAUGCACACAUCUUAUUUUAGUUCACAAUCUGAGCCUGUGUCACAAAUAAUAAGUAUAACAAAAGAAUAAUGGUAGUAAAGUAGUCUGAAAUGUUUAAGGAUUUAUAUAGUUCAAACCUCGGGUUUUUUAAAAUUAUAUCUAUUAAGGCACCAGUAUUACUAACAUAUUCAUCAAAUUAAAUAUAACAUGUAAUUGUAAUAAAGUAGUUUAUACUAGGAGUGUCAAACGUAUAGCCAACAGACUGGAUAUGGUUGGCAAAGCAGCUCUGUCUGGCUCGCUGGGCUACUGCUAAAUUGAUGGAAGUUGUGGAGCAUGGCCUGCCACAGAAUUCAGCACCUUUUGUCCCUGCUGGCCAUAGGAAUUGUGGGUGAGCUUGGCUCAGCACCAUCGCCCCAGACCCUUUCCUGGGCUCACUGAUGCCAUUGGACCCUUCCUGCUGCUGACAGAUCCCUGCCCCUGAACCCUCACUGCCUCCUGACCCACUGCUGUUGGACGCGUUGCUGCUGCCAGGCACUCUGGAUGGAUCUGCCCCGUGAGAAGCUCUGCAGUCUGGAACUGACCCAGACCCCCAGGUGUGUUUAACACCCCAGGUUUAUAUAAGUUAAUGAUCUGGUAUCAUUGGGUUAUUCUGUCAAACAGUAUCUCUCUAAAAAAAAAAAAAAUCAUAUCUUUUUAUUCAAUAGAUAAAGGGGGAAGUCAUGAUUAUCAAAAUAAAAAUGCUCUAUUAAAAUAACUUUGUAAACUUCCCUUUGUGUAAUAUUUAGUAAAAAUUAUUAAAUGCAGUAUGUUCAGAUAAAACAAUAUUUUAAUAUGGAAAGUAUGAGGAAUAUGUGUAACAUGUUCAUGUAUGAGUAGUUACAUCUUAUUAAAUUCAGUGUCUCAUAAACCUGCUGUAUUAAGAUGUGAAAGUAGGAGCUGUGUUCUUUUUUAUAUAAUGAUGGUUCUGUGAUUAUUUGAAAUUUUAUUCUGGAUAUUUUUGCUGUUCAAAAUUAUAGCCAUUCACAAAGCCAAACGUUGUCAGUUAAAAACAAAAUAAGAAAAACACUCAAGUGAGCAAGAGAAAAAUACAUGAUUUUAAAUGUGUGCUCAUUUGGAGUCAUCUGAUAUCAGACACACCUUAACAAAUAAAAAUCACUAUUCCCAAAGCCACUGAAUCUACUUUUACCAGUUGUGCACCUAUGUUGUUGUUUUAAAAACUUUGAGGCAAACAGACUUUUCUAGACUGUAGUUUUCAUAUUAGCUGCUCAACAAGGAAAUAAGUCAUUAAUUUUUUUAAACACUUUUCACAGAGAAUUAGCAUAUGGCACAACAGACAAUAUCGAUUAGGGUCCACCAUCUGGCAGAGGUCUAAAAAAGUGGCUGCCAUAUGUUUUGACCAAUGCUGCAGAACAAACUCUUUCAUACUGUCACCACCUCUAGUUCUGUUUUAUAAAUUACUUUCAGUUUUAUUAUAUAUAUGAAAAAGAUUAGGAAAGGUUUCAUCUAUGACUGGUUGCUUAAUUGGAAAACAGACGCUAUAUAAAAUUUUUAAACAGGCACUGGGUGAAUAGGACUCAGUUUGAAAGCCAUUUGACAGCUGUAAGUAGCAGAGGUGCAGGGACUGCUAUAAAUUGUUUAUUAUGUAGAUCUUUAAUUCUUAAUCAGUGAUAUUUAAAUAAUUCUUUUAUAUUCAACAAUGGUAGUUUAUCCUUGAUAAUAACUAAAGGAGAAAAUGUAACACAAAAAAUCUUGAAGAGAAAAAUGUUCAUGAAAUUCUCAUGUAAUAUUGAAGACUGGUAAAAUAAAAAAUGUAUUCAGUCUUUUUUUUUCUUCUUAAAAAGAUACAGUUUCAUAAAGAAUAGAUUUUAAAAAUCAGAAAUAAAUAUAUAUAUAUAUAUAUAUAUAUAUAUAUAUAUAUAUAUAGUGCUGUUGGAAAAAUAACAUAUCAGGUUCAAAUGAA